This 1188-nucleotide unclassified non-coding RNA is filed under the name Zea mays. RNAcentral's name for it is "misc RNA Zm00001eb166130". Lineage: Eukaryota; Viridiplantae; Streptophyta; Magnoliopsida; Poales; Poaceae. The record is from RNAcentral.
CUGGGAGUCAGAGAGACAUGGCGCGGCAGCAUAUUGCACCGUCGCGGCAACGGCUGCACGGUGCUCCGGCCCCUACCUACGCCGUCGUCCGUUCAGUUCCCCGGCGCCGGCUUGCCGCCGAAUCCCUUCUUGCGCUCCUCGAUGAAGCUGGAGGAGCGCUCGUUGAUGUUGGACGGCACCCUUGGCGCCUGCGGCAUCCGCGGCCGGAGCCCGCUCCGCCUCGGCACCCGGGCGCCGCUCUGCUCCUCCGCUCCGGCGACCGACGACGCCUGCCGCUUCCGGAACAGCGACUUCUUCCUCUCCAACGAGGCGCCGCCGCUGCCCUCCUGCGCAGGACGGUCCUCCUUGAUCGUCACCGUCCUCCUCGUCACCUUCGUCUCCUCCGCCUUCGCCACCGCUGGCGCCGCGGCCUCCGCUUCCACCGGGCCGUCGGCCGCAGCAGCUCCGUCCUGCUUCCGCUCAGGAUCAGGAACGCCCCUCGCCGUCGUCGCGGCGCUCUCUUCCAAGACGGUCGUCGCGACGCCGCUGGGGCCCCCAUCGCCAUGGCCGCCGAGCUGCUGGAAGUCGAACUCGGCCCUCUCGAUGGGUAUGGCGAACUCGUCUUCUUCUAUGCCACCGUCGCCUCCUCCUCCCUCCGUCGGCGGCGGAGGGUGGCCGCCGGCGCCGUUGCUCCUUGGCCCCUCGGCGAUGCUCUUCAUCCUGCUCACCGACAGGUUCUUGGCCAGGAACGUCAGGAACCGGUCGCACAUGCCGCCGGCCGCCCUCGUCGCUGGCUCCACGUCGCCGCCGCCGCUGCCUUUCUCCGCCAUUACCGCGCGCUUGUUGUACUUGUACCUACAGAUUCUUGAUGCCAGGAUUGGAGAGGACGUACGUACACUUUAUAGAUGCAUCAACAUGGGCGUGCCGUGUCGUGUCGUGUGUGAUGUGUUCGUGUGUUGGGAUUGGGACAAGGAGCAACAAAAUUAAAGUACCUGGCAGCGUAGUGGCGCGAAGCAGCAAAGAAUCCAUGUCUUCUCCUUGGGUACUGAAAGACACAGCAAGCAAGCGAUUCCAGAUGCCAUUAGACGGCAACCCGUUCGGAAUAUUGCAGGCCAAAGCGAUUCCAAGAGUCUAACAGAAGCAGCAAGGUAUUCCCUUUGGCCACUGGAAUAAGAGACAAGCAAUCUAUCUGGUACUCCCUCCGUUUCU